RNAcentral lists this ribosomal RNA (207 nucleotides) under uncultured bacterium. Its description in RNAcentral is "partial 16S ribosomal RNA". It matches the Rfam family "Bacterial small subunit ribosomal RNA", at positions 568 to 774 of the family's 1533-position model. The record is from RNAcentral.
AGCGCAGGCGGUGCGGCAAGUCUGAUGUGAAAGCCCGGGGCUCAACCCCGGUACUGCAUUGGAAACUGUCGUACUAGAGUGUCGGAGGGGUAAGUGGAAUUCCUAGUGUAGCGGUGAAAUGCGUAGAUAUUAGGAGGAACACCAGUGGCGAAGGCGGCUUACUGGACGAUAACUGACGCUGAGGCUCGAAAGCGUGGGGAGCAAACA